Molecule: unclassified non-coding RNA, 283 nt
Filed under: Hevea brasiliensis (rubber tree)
Lineage: Eukaryota; Viridiplantae; Streptophyta; Magnoliopsida; Malpighiales; Euphorbiaceae
Source: RNAcentral
UGGAUAAGAUGGUUGCAGCAAUGCGAGCUUUCAGGGGGUUGUAUAAGACAAUUUUCUUGAAUAGGAAAGCCUUUGCAUUGCUUACCUCUCAAGGGUUUAAAGGGAAGGAACUAACAGAAGCCCUGUGGAAGGUUCAUAGAGAUGAUUUUAUAAUGGGUAGAGGAUCUGCCUUACCUGACUGUUUUUGUGAAUUCAAUGUAUGAACUUAUGUUUUCCUCUUCAGUUUAUUCGUUACUUGAUGUUUUGGUUAUAGCCGGAGCAAUUUAUUCGAAAAGAUGUCUCG